GACGAACGCUGGCGGCGUGCUUAACACAUGCAAGUCGAACGGAAAGGCCCUGCUUUUGUGGGGUGCUCGAGUGGCGAACGGGUGAGUAACACGUGAGUAACCUGCCCUUGACUUUGGGAUAACUUCAGGAAACUGGGGCUAAUACCGGAUAGGAGCUCCUGCUGCAUGGUGGGGGUUGGAAAGUUUCGGCGGUUGGGGAUGGACUCGCGGCUUAUCAGCUUGUUGGUGGGGUAGUGGCUUACCAAGGCUUUGACGGGUAGCCGGCCUGAGAGGGUGACCGGCCACAUUGGGACUGAGAGACGGCCCAGACUCCUACGGGGGGCAGCAGUGGGGAAUAUUGCGCAAUGGGCGGAAGCCUGAGGCAGCAACGCCGCGUGCGGGAUGACGGCCUUCGGGUUGUAAACCGCUUUCGCCUGUGACGAAGCGUGAGUGAGGGUAAUGGGUAAAGAAGCACCGGCUAACUACGUG
RNAcentral lists this ribosomal RNA (468 nucleotides) under uncultured bacterium. RNAcentral describes it as "partial 16S ribosomal RNA". It matches the Rfam family "Bacterial small subunit ribosomal RNA", at positions 28 to 507 of the family's 1533-position model. The record is from RNAcentral.